Molecule: ribosomal RNA, 460 nt
Filed under: uncultured bacterium
Lineage: Bacteria
Description: partial 16S ribosomal RNA
Rfam family: Bacterial small subunit ribosomal RNA
Source: RNAcentral
CCUACGGGGGGCAGCAGUGAGGAAUAUUGGUCAAUGGACGAGAGUCUGAACCAGCCAAGUCGCGUGAAGGAUGACUGCCCUAUGGGUUGUAAACUUCUUUUAUAUGGGAAUAAAAUGUUCCACGUGUGGGAUUUUGUAUGUACCAUAUGAAUAAGGCUCGGCUAACUCCGUGCCAGCAGCCGCGGUAAUUCGGAGGAUCCGAGCGUUUUCCGGAUUUAUUGGGUUUAAAGGGAGCGUAGGUGGGUAGUUAAGUCAGUUGUGAAAGUUCGCGGGUCAACCGUAAAAUUGCAGUUGAAACUGGCAGUCUUGAGUACAGGAGAGGUAGGCGGAAUUCGUGGUGUAGCGGUGAAAUGCUUAGAUAUCACGAAGAACUCCGAUUGCGAAGGCAGUACACUGGACUGCAACUGACACUGAGGCUCGAAAGUGUGGGUAUCAAACAGGAUUAGAUACCCGAGUAGUC